CAGUAGCCGCGGUAAUACGAAGGGUGCAAGCGUUAAUCGGAAUUACUGGGCGUAAAGCGUGCGUAGGCGGUGAGUUAAGUCUGCUGUGAAAUCCCCGGGCUCAACCUGGGAAUGGCAGUGGAUACUGGCUCGCUAGAGUGUGUCAGAGGAUGGUGGAAUUCCCGGUGUAGCGGUGAAAUGCGUAGGGAUCGGGAGGAACAUCAGUGGCGAAGGCGGCCAUCUGGGACAACACUGACGCUGAGGCACGAAAGCGUGGGGAGCAAACAGGAUUAGAUACCCCAGUAGUCCCUGUCUCUUAUAC
This 301-nucleotide ribosomal RNA is filed under the name uncultured bacterium. RNAcentral describes it as "partial 16S ribosomal RNA". It matches the Rfam family "Bacterial small subunit ribosomal RNA", at positions 509 to 807 of the family's 1533-position model. The record is from RNAcentral.